This 372-nucleotide ribosomal RNA is filed under the name uncultured organism. RNAcentral's name for it is "bacterial SSU rRNA". It matches the Rfam family "Bacterial small subunit ribosomal RNA", at positions 526 to 896 of the family's 1533-position model. The record is from RNAcentral.
CAGAGACUGCAAGCGUUAUUCGGAUUCACUGGGCGUAAAGGGUGCGCAGGCGGCCGUGUGUGUGAGGCGUGAAAGCCCGGGGCUUAACCCCGGAAUUGCACCUCAAACUACAUGGCUAGAGCAUUGGAGAGGGUAGCAGAAUUCAUGGUGUAGCAGUGAAAUGCGUAGAUAUCAUGAGGAAUACCAGAGGCGAAGGCGGCUACCUGGACAAUUGCUGACGCUCAGGCACGAAAGCGUGGGGAGCAAAAGGGAUUAGAUACCCCUGUAGUCCACGCCCUAAACGGUGCACACUAGGUCUUGGCGGAUUCGACCCCCCCAGGGCCCCAGCUAACGCGUUAAGUGUGCCGCCUGAGGACUACGGCCGCAAGGCUA